This 73-nucleotide transfer RNA is filed under the name Trichonephila inaurata madagascariensis. Its description in RNAcentral is "tRNA-Tyr". It matches the Rfam family "tRNA". Rfam says of the family: Transfer RNA (tRNA) molecules are approximately 80 nucleotides in length. The record is from RNAcentral. Lineage: Eukaryota; Metazoa; Arthropoda; Arachnida; Araneae; Nephilidae.
CCGUCGAUAGCUCAGUUGGCAGAGCGUUGGACUGUAGAUCCAUAGGUCGCUGGUUCGACUCCGGCUCGGCGGA